UAGGGAAUCUUCGGCAAUGGGGGCAACCCUGACCGAGCAACGCCGCGUGAGUGAAGAAGGUUUUCGGAUCGUAAAGCUCUGUUGUAAGUCAAGAACGAGUGUGAGAGUGGAAAGUUCACACUGUGACGGUAGCUUACCAGAAAGGGACGGCUAACUACGUGCCAGCAGCCGCGGUAAUACGUAGGUCCCGAGCGUUGUCCGGAUUUAUUGGGCGUAAAGCGAGCGCAGGCGGUUUGAUAAGUCUGGAGUUAAAGGCUGUGGCUCAACCAUAGUUCGCUUUGGAAACUGUCAAACUUGAGUGCAGAAGGGGAGAGUGGAAUUCCAUGUGUAGCGGUGAAAUGCGUAGAUAUAUGGAGGAACACCGGUGGCGAAAGCGGCUCUCUGGUCUGUAACUGACGCUGAGGCUCGAAAGCGUGGGGAGCGAACAGGAUUAGAUACCCUGGUAGUCCACGCCGUAAACGACGAGUGCUAGGUGUUGGAUCCUUUCCGGGAUUCAGUGCCGCAGCUAACGCAUUAAGCACUCCGCCUGGGGAGUACGACCGCAAGGUUG
This 550-nucleotide ribosomal RNA is filed under the name uncultured bacterium. RNAcentral describes it as "bacterial SSU rRNA". It matches the Rfam family "Bacterial small subunit ribosomal RNA", at positions 355 to 896 of the family's 1533-position model. The record is from RNAcentral.